This is a non-coding RNA of Caenorhabditis elegans, 21 nucleotides long. NCBI's taxonomy places the organism in Eukaryota, Metazoa, Nematoda, Chromadorea, Rhabditida, Rhabditidae. The record is from Ensembl.
UGGUGUUACGAUAAAAUGAAG